UACGGAGGGAGCUAGCGUUGUUCGGAAAUACUGGGCGUAAAGCGCACGUAGGCGGCGCAGCAAGUCAGGGGUGAAAUCCCGGGGCUCAACCCCGGAACUGCCCUUGAAACUGCAGUGCUAGAAUCCUGGAGAGGCGAGUGGAAUUCCGAGUGUAGAGGUGAAAUUCGUAGAUAUUCGGAAGAACACCAGUGGCGAAGGCGACUCGCUGGACAGGUAUUGACGCUGAGGUGCGAAAGCGUGGGGAGCAAACAGG
RNAcentral lists this ribosomal RNA (253 nucleotides) under uncultured bacterium. Its description in RNAcentral is "partial 16S ribosomal RNA". It matches the Rfam family "Bacterial small subunit ribosomal RNA", at positions 524 to 776 of the family's 1533-position model. The record is from RNAcentral.